UAAUACGAAGGGGGCUAGCGUUGCUCGGAAUCACUGGGCGUAAAGGGUGCGUAGGCGGGUCUUUAAGUCAGGGGUGAAAUCCUGGAGCUCAACUCCAGAACUGCCUUUGAUACUGAAGAUCUUGAGUUCGGGAGAGGUGAGUGGAACUGCGAGUGUAGAGGUGAAAUUCGUAGAUAUUCGCAAGAACACCAGUGGCGAAGGCGGCUCACUGGCCCGAUACUGACGCUGAGGCACGAAAGCGUGGGGAGCAAACAGGAUUAGAUACCCUGGUAGUCCACGCCGUAAACGAUGGAUGCUAGCCGUUGGCGGGUUUACCCGUCAGUGGCGCAGCUAACGCUUUAAGCAUCCCGCCUGGGGAGUACGGUCGCAAGAUUA
Molecule: ribosomal RNA, 375 nt
Filed under: uncultured bacterium
Lineage: Bacteria
Description: bacterial SSU rRNA
Rfam family: Bacterial small subunit ribosomal RNA
Source: RNAcentral